RNAcentral lists this ribosomal RNA (780 nucleotides) under uncultured Neocallimastigales. RNAcentral describes it as "partial large subunit ribosomal RNA". It matches the Rfam family "Eukaryotic large subunit ribosomal RNA", at positions 24 to 645 of the family's 3401-position model. Lineage: Eukaryota; Fungi; Neocallimastigomycota; Neocallimastigomycetes; Neocallimastigales. The record is from RNAcentral.
UAUCUCUGUAGAGUCUGCAUAUCAAUAAGCGGAGGAAAAGAAACUAACAAGGAUUCCCUUAGUAACGGCGAGUGAAGCGGGAAGAGCUCAAAUUUGAAAUCUUCAAGGUUCUACCUUGACGAAUUGUAGUUUAAAGAAGUGUUUUCUGUUAGAUGAGUUAGGUAAAAGUUCUUGGAAUAGGACAUCAUAGAGGGUGAGAAUCCCGUAUUUGACUAUUACUUCCAGCGUUGUGAUACACUUUCAAAGAGUCGGAUUGUUUGGGAAUGCAGUCCAAAAUGGGUGGUAAAUUUCAUCUAAAGCUAAAUAUUGGCGAGAGACCGAUAGCGAACAAGUACCGUGAGGGAAAGAUGAAAAGAACUUUGAAAAGAGAGUUAAACAGUACGUGAAAUUGUCAAAAGGGAAGCGUUUGACACCAGUGUUGUUUUCUCGAAAAUCAAUUAAGAAUGGCUUGAUUUUGUGUUGUAUUGACCUUAUCAGCUUUCUGCACUCUUUUCUUGAGUCUUUUUUAAUGCACUUUUCGGUUAACAAGUCAACAUCAAUUUCUUUUGUUGUAAAAGAGUCAUUGGAAGGUGGCUUUCACCUUCGGAGAAAGUGUUUAUAGCCUUUGGCUUCUGCAAUCGGAGAGAUUGAGGUCUGCAGCGUAGAUCCUUCGGGGCUAGAUACGUAGAUGCUAAGUUAUAGUUUUUUAUAGACAACUUGUUGACUAUAAUUAAUCAUGUAGCUUACUCGCUUAUGCGCUAUUUUACCUACGCUUAGGAUGUUGACGAGACUGUCGAUCUC